This 579-nucleotide ribosomal RNA is filed under the name uncultured bacterium. RNAcentral's name for it is "bacterial SSU rRNA". It matches the Rfam family "Bacterial small subunit ribosomal RNA", at positions 338 to 916 of the family's 1533-position model. The record is from RNAcentral.
CCUACGGGAGGCAGCAGUAAGGAAUAUUGGUCAAUGGACGCAAGUCUGAACCAGCCAUGCCGCGUGAAGGAUGAAGGCCCUCUGGGUUGUAAACUUCUUUUACAGGGGACGAAAAAAGGGAAUUUUUUCUCACUUGACGGUACCCUGGGAAUAAGCACCGGCUAACUCCGGGCCAGCAGCCGCGGUAAUACGGAGGGUGCAAGCGUUAUCCGGAUUCACUGGGUUUAAAGGGUGCGUAGGUGGGCAUUUAAGUCAGUGGUGAAAUCUCCGGGCUUAACCCGGAAACUGCCAUUGAUACUAUUUGUCUUGAAUAUUGUGGAGGUAAGCGGAAUAUGUCAUGUAGCGGUGAAAUGCUUAGAUAUGACAUAGAACACCCAUUGCGAAGGCAGCUUACUACGCAAAUAUUGACACUGAGGCACGAAAGCGUGGGGAUCAAACAGGAUUAGAUACCCUGGUAGUCCACGCCCUAAACGAUGGAUACUCGACAUCAGCGAUACACAGUUGGUGUCUGAGCGAAAAGCAUUAAGUAUCCCACCUGGGAAGUACGACCGCAAGGUUGAAACUCAAAGGAAUUGACGG